Molecule: ribosomal RNA, 253 nt
Filed under: uncultured bacterium
Lineage: Bacteria
Description: partial 16S ribosomal RNA
Rfam family: Bacterial small subunit ribosomal RNA
Source: RNAcentral
UACAGAGGUCUCAAGCGUUGUUCGGAAUCACUGGGCGUAAAGGGUGCGCAGGCCGCGCGGGCAGUCAAAUGUGUAAUUCAGGGGCUCAACCCCUGCACUGCGCUUGAUACUUCCGCGCUAGAACUUUGGAGAGGAGUCUGGAAUUCUCGGUGUAGCAGUGAAAUGCGUGGAUAUCGAGAAGAACACUAACGGCGUAAGCAAGACUCUGGACAAAUGUUGACGCUCAAGCACGAAGGCUAGGGUAGCGAACGGG